RNAcentral lists this ribosomal RNA (465 nucleotides) under Vreelandella stevensii. Its description in RNAcentral is "partial 16S ribosomal RNA". It matches the Rfam family "Bacterial small subunit ribosomal RNA", at positions 338 to 795 of the family's 1533-position model. Lineage: Bacteria; Pseudomonadati; Pseudomonadota; Gammaproteobacteria; Oceanospirillales; Halomonadaceae. The record is from RNAcentral.
CCUACGGGUGGCAGCAGUGGGGAAUAUUGGACAAUGGGGGGAACCCUGAUCCAGCCAUGCCGCGUGUGUGAAGAAGGCCCUCGGGUUGUAAAGCACUUUCAGUGAGGAAGAACGCCUGGUGGUUAAUACCCAUCAGGAAAGACAUCACUCACAGAAGAAGCACCGGCUAACUCCGUGCCAGCAGCCGCGGUAAUACGGAGGGUGCGAGCGUUAAUCGGAAUUACUGGGCGUAAAGCGCGCGUAGGUGGCUUGAUAAGCCGGUUGUGAAAGCCCCGGGCUCAACCUGGGAACGGCAUCCGGAACUGUCAAGCUAGAGUGCAGGAGAGGAAGGUAGAAUUCCCGGUGUUGCGGUGAAAUGCGUAGAGAUCGGGAGGAAUACCAGUGGCGAAGGCGGCCUUCUGGACUGACACUGACACUGAGGUGCGAAAGCGUGGGUAGCAAACAGGAUUAGAUACCCCGGUAGUC